This 254-nucleotide ribosomal RNA is filed under the name uncultured bacterium. RNAcentral describes it as "partial 16S ribosomal RNA". It matches the Rfam family "Bacterial small subunit ribosomal RNA", at positions 524 to 774 of the family's 1533-position model. The record is from RNAcentral.
UACGUAGGGGGCGAAGCGUUGUCCGGAAUUAUUGGGCGUAAAGGGCGCGUAGGCGGAUCUUUAAGUCUGGUGUGAAAGAUCAGGGCUCAACCCUGAGAGUGCAUCGGAAACUGGGGAUCUUGAGGACAGGAGAGGAAAGUGGAAUUCCACGUGUAGCGGUGAAAUGCGUAGAUAUGUGGAGGAACACCAGUGGCGAAGGCGACUUUUCUGGACUGUAACUGACGCUGAGGCGCGAAAAGCGUGGGGAGCAAAAC